This 72-nucleotide transfer RNA is filed under the name Bos taurus (domestic cattle). It matches the Rfam family "tRNA". Rfam says of the family: Transfer RNA (tRNA) molecules are approximately 80 nucleotides in length. Their secondary structure includes four short double-helical elements and three loops (D, anti-codon, and T loops). RNAcentral also lists the same sequence under 5 other names. Lineage: Eukaryota; Metazoa; Chordata; Mammalia; Artiodactyla; Bovidae. The record is from Rfam by way of RNAcentral.
UCCCUGGUGGCUCACAUGGUAAAGAAUCUGGUUGCAAUGCAGGAGAUCCAGGUUUGAACCCUGGCUUGUGAA